AUUGAAUGCUGGCGGCAUGCCUUACACAUGCAAGUCGAACGGUAACAGGUCUUCGGAUGCUGACGAGUGGCGAACGGGUGAGUAAUACAUCGGAACGUGCCCGAUCGUGGGGGAUAACGAAGCGAAAGCUUUGCUAAUACCGCAUACGAUCUACGGAUGAAAGCAGGGGACCGCAAGGCCUUGCGCGAACGGAGCGGCCGAUGGCAGAUUAGGUAGUUGGUGGGAUAAAAGCUUACCAAGCCGACGAUCUGUAGCUGGUCUGAGAGGACGACCAGCCACACUGGGACUGAGACACGGCCCAGACUCCUACGGGAGGCAGCAGUGGGGAAUUUUGGACAAUGGGCGAAAGCCUGAUCCAGUCAUGCCGCGUGCAGGAUGAAGGCCUUCGGGUUGUAAACUGCUUUUGUACGGAACGAAAAGACUCUGGUUAAUACCUGGGGUCCAUGACGGUACCGUAAGAAUAAGCACCGGCUAACUACGUG
RNAcentral lists this ribosomal RNA (482 nucleotides) under uncultured bacterium. RNAcentral describes it as "partial 16S ribosomal RNA". It matches the Rfam family "Bacterial small subunit ribosomal RNA", at positions 30 to 507 of the family's 1533-position model. The record is from RNAcentral.